GUGCCAGCAGCCGCGGUAAUACGGGGGCCCCUAGCAUUAUCCGGUUUUAUUGGGCGUAAAGAGUUCUGUAGGUGGUAUUGUAAGUUAAAGGUUAAAACCUCCGGCUCAACCGGGGAAUCGCUUUUAAUACUGCAGUUCUAGAGGCAAACAGGGGAAAGUAGAACGCAUGGUGUAGUGGUAAAAUACGUUGAUAUCAUGCGGAAUACCGAAGGCGUAGGCAGCUUUCUGGGUUUGACCUGACACUGAGAGACGAAAGCGUGGGGAGCAAAACGGAUUAGAUACCCGAGUAGUCC
This 293-nucleotide ribosomal RNA is filed under the name uncultured bacterium. RNAcentral describes it as "partial 16S ribosomal RNA". It matches the Rfam family "Bacterial small subunit ribosomal RNA", at positions 505 to 796 of the family's 1533-position model. The record is from RNAcentral.